GAUGAACGCUGGCGGCGUGCCUAAUACAUGCAAGUCGAGCGAACGGACGAGAAGCUUGCUUCUCUGAUGUUAGCGGCGGACGGGUGAGUAACACGUGGAUAACCUACCUAUAAGACUGGGAUAACUUCGGGAAACCGGAGCUAAUACCGGAUAAUAUUUUGAACCGCAUGGUUCAAAAGUGAAGACGGUCUUGCUGUCACUUAUAGAUGGAUCCGCGCUGCAUUAGCUAGUUGGUAAGGUAACGGCUUACCAAGGCAACGAUGCAUAGCCGACCUGAGAGGGUGAUCGGCCACACUGGAACUGAGACACGGUCCAGACUCCUACGGGAGGCAGCAGUAGGGAAUCUUCCGCAAUGGGCGAAAGCCUGACGGAGCAACGCCGCGUGAGUGAUGAAGGUCUUCGGAUCGUAAAACUCUGUUAUUAGGGAAGAACAUAUGUGUAAGUAACUGUGCACAUCUUGACGGUACCUAAUCAGAAAGCCACGGCUAACUACGUG
This 496-nucleotide ribosomal RNA is filed under the name uncultured bacterium. Its description in RNAcentral is "partial 16S ribosomal RNA". It matches the Rfam family "Bacterial small subunit ribosomal RNA", at positions 28 to 507 of the family's 1533-position model. The record is from RNAcentral.